RNAcentral lists this ribosomal RNA (510 nucleotides) under Staphylococcus aureus. RNAcentral describes it as "bacterial SSU rRNA". It matches the Rfam family "Bacterial small subunit ribosomal RNA", at positions 1 to 493 of the family's 1533-position model. Lineage: Bacteria; Bacillati; Bacillota; Bacilli; Caryophanales; Staphylococcaceae. The record is from RNAcentral.
UUUAUGGAGAGUUUGAUCCUGGCUCAGGAUGAACGCUGGCGGCGUGCCUAAUACAUGCAAGUCGAGCGAACGGACGAGAAGCUUGCUUCUCUGAUGUUAGCGGCGGACGGGUGAGUAACACGUGGAUAACCUACCUAUAAGACUGGGAUAACUUCGGGAAACGGGAGCUAAUACCGGAUAAUAUUUUGAACCGCAUGGUUCAAAAGUGAAAGACGGUCUUGCUGUCACUUAUAGAUGGAUCCGCGCUGCAUUAGCUAGUUGGUAAGGUAACGGCUUACCAAGGCAACGAUGCAUAGCCGACCUGAGAGGGUGAUCGGCCACACUGGAACUGAGACACGGUCCAGACUCCUACGGGAGGCAGCAGUAGGGAAUCUUCCGCAAUGGGCGAAAGCCUGACGGAGCAACGCCGCGUGAGUGAUGAAGGUCUUCGGAUCGUAAAACUCUGUUAUUAGGGAAGAACAUAUGUGUAAGUAACUGUGCACAUCUUGACGGUACCUAAUCAGAAAGCCA